GAUGAACGCUGGCGGCGUGCCUAAUACAUGCAAGUCGAGCGAUGAAGAUUGGUGCUUGCACCGAUUUGAAGAGCGGCGAACGGGUGAGUAACGCGUGGGGAACCUGCCUUUGAGCGGGGGAUAACAUUUGGAAACGAAUGCUAAUACCGCAUAAUAACUUUAAACAUAAGUUUCAAGUUUGAAAGAUGCAUUUGCAUCACCUAAAGAUGAUCCCGCGUUGUAUUGGGUAGUUGGUGAGGUAAAAGCCCACCCAGGCGAUGGUUCAUAGCCGGCCUGGGGAGGUUGAUCGGCACAAUUGGACUGGGGAACGGGCCCAGCUCCUUCGGGGAGCAACAGUAGGGAAACUUCGGCAAUGGGGGGAAAUCUGGCCGGACAACGCCGGGUGGGGGAAGGAAGUUUUCGGAUCGUAAAACUCUGUUGAUAGGGAAGGACGUUGGGGAGAGUGAAAAGCUCAUGAAUUGACGGUAACUACCCAGAAAGAGACGGCUAACUACGUG
RNAcentral lists this ribosomal RNA (497 nucleotides) under uncultured bacterium. Its description in RNAcentral is "partial 16S ribosomal RNA". It matches the Rfam family "Bacterial small subunit ribosomal RNA", at positions 28 to 507 of the family's 1533-position model. The record is from RNAcentral.